ACCGCUAACUCUGUGCCAGCAGCCGCGGUAAUACAGAGGGGUGCAAGCGUUGUUCGGAAUUAUUGGGCGUAAAGCGCGUGUAGGCGGCUUGGCAAGUCAGAUGUGAAAGCCCAUGGCUUAACCAUGGAAGUGCGUCUGAAACUGCUGAGCUUGAGUGCCGGAGAGGAUGGCGGAAUUCCGCAAGUAGAGGUGAAAUUCGUAGAUAUGCGGAGGAACACCGGUGGCGAAGGCGGCCAUCUGGACGGCAACUGACGCUGAGACGCGAAAGCGUGGGGAGCAAACAGGAUUAGAUACCCUGGUAGUCCACGCUGUAAACGAUGAGAACUAGGUGUCGUGGGUGUUGACCCCCGCGGUGCCGUAGCUAACGCAUUAAGUUCUCCGCCUGGGAAGUACGGUCGCAAGAUUAAAAACUCAAAGGAAUUGACGGGG
RNAcentral lists this ribosomal RNA (429 nucleotides) under uncultured bacterium. Its description in RNAcentral is "bacterial SSU rRNA". It matches the Rfam family "Bacterial small subunit ribosomal RNA", at positions 492 to 918 of the family's 1533-position model. The record is from RNAcentral.